Long non-coding RNA from Marmota monax (woodchuck), 419 nucleotides. RefSeq lists it as uncharacterized. The transcript has 3 exons. NCBI's taxonomy places the organism in Eukaryota, Metazoa, Chordata, Mammalia, Rodentia, Sciuridae. The record is from RefSeq and is a predicted model, not a curated record.
UAUUUUGGAGUUUUUCAUUCAUAUCCAACACUCACAAGUCUGCAUUUCUGACUAACUGAUGGUGACUCAGAGACUGCUUAUAUGCAGAUGGCACUUUGAGUAGCAAGGCUUGAAGGCAAGCAGAUCUGCUCACCCUGAUCCUAUACUAUCCUAUACAGAGAAGGUGGUAUCCAUCCCUUUUGCCCUUCCAUCCCUUCUAUCACAUGUGGACACCUAGCACCAUCUAUGAGGAAGAGCCUUUAACGGAAACCAAACCUGCCAGCAUCUCCAUCUUGGACAUCCCAGCCUCCAGAACUCAGCAGACCUCCAGGGAAGCAAUAUGUUCUAAGGCAGAGCAAGGGGUGUCCAGCCUCCCUGCACUCAAGCCAUCGUCCCUGCCAUGAUGCCCUGGGCACUGGAGGCUGUCAGGGGAGUUACAG